This 449-nucleotide ribosomal RNA is filed under the name uncultured bacterium. Its description in RNAcentral is "partial 16S ribosomal RNA". It matches the Rfam family "Bacterial small subunit ribosomal RNA", at positions 28 to 523 of the family's 1533-position model. The record is from RNAcentral.
GAUGAACGCUGGCGGCGUGGAUAAGGCAUGCAAGUCAAGGGGGCCCGCAAGGGCAACCGGCAGACGAGGUAGUAAUGAUCAGGAAUGUCCCUUCAAGUCUCGAAUAGCUAUCCGAAAGGGUAGGUAAUACGAGAUAGUCCCUUCGGGGUAAAGAUUUAUCGCUUGAAGAACAGCCUGAUUGGUAUCAUCUAGUUGGUAGGGUAAUGGCCUACCAAGGCAAUGACGCCUAGGGGACCUGAGAGGGUGACCCCCACCGAUGGGACUGAGACACGGCCCAGACUCCUACGGGAGGCAGCAGUGGGGAAUAUUGGACAAUGGGCGCAAGCCUGAUCCAGCCAUGCCGCGUGAGUGAUGAAGGCCUUAGGGUUGUAAAGCUCUUUCGCCGGUGAAGAUAAUGACGGUAACCGGAGAAGAAGCCCCGGCUAACUUCGUGCCAGCAGCCGCGGUAA